This 182-nucleotide small nucleolar RNA is filed under the name Erinaceus europaeus (western European hedgehog). RNAcentral's name for it is "Small nucleolar RNA SNORA23". It matches the Rfam family "Small nucleolar RNA SNORA23". From Rfam's summary of the family: The members of this family belong to the H/ACA class of snoRNAs which are thought to guide the sites of modification of uridines to pseudouridines. This family includes human snoRNA ACA23 (SNORA23) and mouse snoMBI-1. The record is from Rfam by way of RNAcentral. Lineage: Eukaryota; Metazoa; Chordata; Mammalia; Eulipotyphla; Erinaceidae.
CUGGUCAUGUGUGCCCAGUUUGCAUCUGUGUCUGAGCGGCGUCUGCCUGCGUCUUGCAUUCAGACCCUGUUGUCCACACACACACCAUGGGGCCAAAAAAUAAGUCGGGGUCAUAGUACUGGCUUCGUGCUGUCUCUUUGGACAUACUCAUCACAAGUCAGCCUCCAAAUCCCCACACACAG